UACGUAGGGGGCUAGCGUUGUCCGGAUUUAUUGGGCGUAAAGAGCGUGUAGGCGGUCCGGUAAGUCCGCUGUGAAAGUCGGGGGCUCAACCCUCGAAUGCCGGUGGAUACUGUCGGGCUAGAGUGCGGAAGAGGCGAGUGGAAUUCCUGGUGUAGCGGUGAAAUGCGCAGAUAUCAGGAGGAACACCUAUUGCGAAGGCAGCUCGCUGGGACGUAACUGACGCUGAGACGCGAAAGCGUGGGGAGCAAACAGG
This 253-nucleotide ribosomal RNA is filed under the name uncultured bacterium. RNAcentral describes it as "partial 16S ribosomal RNA". It matches the Rfam family "Bacterial small subunit ribosomal RNA", at positions 524 to 776 of the family's 1533-position model. The record is from RNAcentral.